RNAcentral lists this long non-coding RNA (645 nucleotides) under Equus caballus (horse). RNAcentral's name for it is "lncRNA (ENSECAG00000050801.1)". The record is from RNAcentral. Lineage: Eukaryota; Metazoa; Chordata; Mammalia; Perissodactyla; Equidae.
AGGUUGUUUUCUCUCUCUCUCUUUUUCUCUCUGCCCCACCGUGUGAGCAAAUGAGGAAGAGGGCCCUCACCAGAACCCAUCCAUGCUGGCACCCUGAUCUGGGACCUGACAGCCUCCAGAACUGUGAGAAAUAAAUGUCCAUUAUUUAAGCAUCGAGUAAUUCUUGAUUCACAGGAACACAGUCCUUGCAAACAGUCACCUCUGGCUGGUCAGCAUGUCCGAUGGAUGCAGGAGAGAGUGAUAUUUUCGGUUCAUGAUAAGGUGGACCCCACUGAGGAAACGUGACAAACUCUCAUCACCUUUCUCUCCCCCACACUCUGAAGUGCUGACUUCCAAUCGUUUCCGCAGUGAUGCAGGACAGGUGGUUUCGGAGGGAGCAUGCUCCUUUGGGAGGGUCACAAGCAAUUCCCCUGGAACUGUACUGUGACGUCAUGCCUUUCUCUCCCACUCAAGGGACCACUGGAGAGGCAACGUGACCUUGUUCUAAGAUUCACCUUGAAUUUAUCUAAUUGUCGUGCAAUAUGACUCUUACUCUAAACUCAGUGGGUCCCUGUAGAGAGGCAGGCUUGUGGCAGCUUCCGUUCCAAGCUUGGGAAUCUUGGCUGAAGCUGGGAAUCCUAGGCCGAGGCCCUAAGCCUCUGAGAC